CCCUUAGAUGUUCUGGGCCGCACGCGCGCUACACUGAUGCAUUCAACGAGCCUAGCCUUGACCGAGAGGUCCGGGUAAUCUUUGAAACUGCAUCGUGAUGGGGCUAGAUUAUUGCAAUUAUUAAUCUUCAACGAGGAAUGCCUAGUAAGCGUGAUUCAUCAAAUCGCGUUGAUUACGUCCCUGCCCUUUGUACACACCGUCCGUCGCUCCUACCGAUUGAGUGUGUUGGUGAGGAGUUUGGAUUGGCCUCGGAAGGUGGUUCGCCACCGUCCGUAGCUGAGAAGUUCUCCAAACCGCCCCACUUAGAGGAAGGAGAAGUCGUAACA
Molecule: ribosomal RNA, 326 nt
Filed under: uncultured eukaryote
Lineage: Eukaryota
Description: partial 18S ribosomal RNA
Rfam family: Eukaryotic small subunit ribosomal RNA
Source: RNAcentral